GGAAAACCAGGAAGUCACACCAUUGGUUGCUAGAGUCAAAUCAGCUGCUCUGGCUAGUUAAGUGGGUUUCCACUUCCAUCCUCUUCCCUCUGAUGCCCUGCUUUGUCAAAGAGGAUGCCCUUCUAGGAAUAGAGUAGGACCAGUCUUUAGUCAAAGGUAUUUAAGGAGCCACAUAUCCUGCUAAAACCUCCAAACAAGCUUCUUGAUAAGAACAAUUAUACUGAACGCAGGACAAACACAAAACAAACCUCUUUAAUUCUGAAGUGAGAAGAUAG
RNAcentral lists this small nuclear RNA (275 nucleotides) under Peromyscus maniculatus bairdii (prairie deer mouse). RNAcentral describes it as "7SK RNA (ENSPEMG00000003616.2)". It matches the Rfam family "7SK RNA". Rfam says of the family: 7SK was discovered as an abundant small nuclear RNA in the mid-70s but a possible function has only recently been suggested. Two independent studies have found that 7SK RNA binds the CDK9/cyclin T complex (known as elongation factor P-TEFb). Lineage: Eukaryota; Metazoa; Chordata; Mammalia; Rodentia; Cricetidae. The record is from Rfam by way of RNAcentral.